AGUAGUUUGAUCAGUGGCUCAGGAUGAACGCUGGCGGCGUGCCUAAUACAUGCAAGUCGAGCGGAAAGGCCUCUUCGGAGGUACUCGAGCGGCGGACGGCAGAGUAACGCGUAGGAACAUACCCCAAACUGAGGGAUAACUGCCCGAAAGGGUGGCUAAUACCGCAUGUGAUCUUCGGAUUAAAGCUUCGGCGGUUUGGGAAUGGCCUGCGUUCGAUUAGCUAGUUGGUGAGGUAAAGGCUCACCAAGGCGACGAUCGAUAACUGGUCUGAGAGGAUGAUCAGUCUGACUGGAACUGAGACACGGUCCAGACUCCUACGGGAGGCAGCAGUAGGGAAUUUCCACAAUGGGCGAGAGCCUGAUGGAGCAACGCCGCGUGCAGGAUGAAGGCCCUUGGGUCGUAAACUGCUUUUAUGUGAGAAGAAUAUGACGGUAACACAUGAAUAAGGGUCGGCUAACUACGUG
RNAcentral lists this ribosomal RNA (464 nucleotides) under uncultured bacterium. RNAcentral describes it as "bacterial SSU rRNA". It matches the Rfam family "Bacterial small subunit ribosomal RNA", at positions 1 to 507 of the family's 1533-position model. The record is from RNAcentral.